This 657-nucleotide ribosomal RNA is filed under the name uncultured bacterium. RNAcentral's name for it is "bacterial SSU rRNA". It matches the Rfam family "Bacterial small subunit ribosomal RNA", at positions 139 to 807 of the family's 1533-position model. The record is from RNAcentral.
CGGGACAGCCUCGGGAAACCGUGGGUAAUACCGGAUACUCCGGGACGGCCGCAUGGCCGGCCCGGGAAAGCCCAGACGGGAGGGGAUGGGCCCGCGGCCUGUUAGCUAGUCGGCGGGGUAACGGCCCACCGAGGCGAUUAUGGGUAGCCGGGUUGAGAGACCGACCGGCCAGAUUGGGACUGAGACACGGCCCAGACUCCUACGGGAGGCAGCAGUGGGGAAUCUUGCGCAAUGGGCGGAAGCCUGACGCAGCGACGCCGCGUGCGGGACGAAGGCCUUCGGGUCGUAAACCGCUUUCAGCAGGGACGAGGCCCUCACGGUGACGGUACCUGCAGAAGAAGCCCCGGCUAACUACGUGCCAGCAGCCGCGGUAAUACGUAGGGGGCGAGCGUUAUCCGGAUUCAUUGGGCGUAAAGCGCGCGUAGGCGGCCUGUUAGGUCGGGGGUCAAAUACCGGGGCUCAACCCCGGUCCGCCCCCGAUACCGGCAGGCUUGAGUCUGGUAGGGGAAGGCGGAAUUCCCAGUGUAGCGGUGGAAUGCGCAGAUAUUGGGAAGAACACCGGCGGCGAAGGCGGCCUUCUGGGCCACGACUGACGCUGAGGCGCGAAAGCUAGGGGAGCGAACAGGAUUAGAUACCCUGGUAGUCCUAGCCGUAAAC